Molecule: ribosomal RNA, 253 nt
Filed under: uncultured bacterium
Lineage: Bacteria
Description: partial 16S ribosomal RNA
Rfam family: Bacterial small subunit ribosomal RNA
Source: RNAcentral
UACAGAGGUGGCAAGCGUUGUUCGGAAUUACUGGGCGUAAAGGGCUCGUAGGUGGCCAACUAAGUCAGACGUGAAAUCCCUCAGCUUAACUGGGGAACUGCGUCUGAUACUGGAUGGCUUGAGAUUGGGAGAGGGAUGCGGAAUUCCAGGUGUAGCGGUGAAAUGCGUAGAUAUCUGGAGGAACACCGGUGGCGAAGGCGGCAUCCUGGACCAACACUGACACUGAGGAGCGAAAGCCAGGGGAGCAAACGGG